GGGGAUGUAGCUCAGUGGAAGAGCCUCUGCUUUCCGUGCAGAAGGUUCCAGGUUCAAUCCCUGCCAUCUCCA
Molecule: non-coding RNA, 72 nt
Organism: Eublepharis macularius
Lineage: Eukaryota; Metazoa; Chordata; Lepidosauria; Squamata; Eublepharidae
Source: the annotation of a RefSeq genome assembly